RNAcentral lists this ribosomal RNA (91 nucleotides) under Escherichia coli. The record is from RNAcentral. Lineage: Bacteria; Pseudomonadati; Pseudomonadota; Gammaproteobacteria; Enterobacterales; Enterobacteriaceae.
UCUGGCGGCCUUAGCGCGGUGGUCCCACCUGACCCCAUGCCGAACUCAGAAGUGAAACGCCGUAGCGCCGAUGGUAGUGUGGGGUCUCCCC